CUUAUGAAAAGAAUUGAAUUAAAAUUUUGAUUUAAAAACCAUGUGGUAAACUUGAGGAAAUAAAGUGGCUACCUUUCAUUAAUUACCUUGUCACUCUAGACAUUAAGAUGACACAUGGUGUGGUAGGGUUAGGAUAAGGUGGCUAUCCUACACUUAUCAUUUUGCCACCUUAAAUACUACAAAGCCAAAUGGCAUGAUAAGGUAAAAUGUAGCAAAAUAAUGAUUAUGGAAAAAUAAAUUAAUUGCUAAUUUAAUUCUAAAUUACUACUAUAAAUAGGGGAUAGAGUGAGAAAGGGAAAAGCAUACAACAAAACAAAAGUCAAGUAACUUUACAAAGGUAGCACUUUAAUUGUCUUGCAACAUUGAAGGUGAGUAGUCUAUACCUACUUUUAUUCCAAACAUAUUUAUUUCAAUUAUGUUUAUUGGAUUACUUCUUGCUUUUCAAAUCAAUUAUAGAUCCAAGAUUCUAUCCAUUGAUAUUGACAUUUGAUAUUGGCAUUGCACUGGAUAGUGAUUGAUAUUAUUGUUUUACACCAAAUUGGUGUAAUUGACUAUUGAGCUCAUUUAUUGUUAUUUUCAUAUUGCGCGCACGAGUAAGAAUUAACAUCUAUAAUUGGGGCCCAUUGUUUUCCUUACUUAUUCAAAUUAAAGAAAAAUUAUGGUAUAGAUUACUCGUUGAAUAAAUAUAUUCACAUUAUUUUUUUUUAUUUUUCUUUUAGAUGAUCAAGGUCGAAUACAUUGACUUUACCUCUAGAGAAUGGACGAUUUCAGAAGAUGGCAAGUAUUGUAUGUUUGUCAAAGAAAUCUACACGUGGAUGACAUAUCUAGAUUUUUCGGGCUUUAACCACUUUGUAGGAGUCCGCUACCACAUCGACUACUUUGAAGCCACCACUAUGAUAUACUUAUUUUCAGAUAGUUUUCCUGGAGAAAUAAUGUGGCCGGAUGGCCUUUGAUGUAUAAAUUUUGGUACAAAUCGGUUAAUUAUCGUAGUAAGAUAUGAUGCUUAGGGCGACUUUUGCAUAGUGCCACUUUUGGUAUGAGG
RNAcentral lists this long non-coding RNA (1042 nucleotides) under Olea europaea subsp. europaea. The record is from RNAcentral. Lineage: Eukaryota; Viridiplantae; Streptophyta; Magnoliopsida; Lamiales; Oleaceae.